This 3922-nucleotide long non-coding RNA is filed under the name Paramuricea clavata. The record is from RNAcentral. Lineage: Eukaryota; Metazoa; Cnidaria; Anthozoa; Malacalcyonacea; Plexauridae.
UCCCGAGCAGGUCCUCCAGUAAUAUAGUAUAGCUCAGUGUUCACACCGCCAUUACGCCAUAUUUUUCAAGCCUUCAUUCUGAAUUUAUGGGUUCGAAAAAUUCGCUUUUUUUAAGCGACGACGAAUGAUUUGAACGAAGAGGAAACAGCCGGGAUGACUGAAUAAUGUUCAGGUAAGCAUAUUGUUAUGUUAUAUGUAUAAUGGAGCAGUUUUGAAAGUAAAUAUUCGCUAUCUUCAUUCAUGAAUUUUGAGCAUGUGUUCAUGUUUAAAAUUUGAAUUUGCCGCGACAAUAUUUGAAUUAAAAAGAUGAUAUAAAUACAUUAGUUUUAUAGAAGGCUUACAUUUGACUUUAUAUUAAAUUAUGUUUAUUGUAUAAAGGGCAACUAAUAUUUGUGUAUAUGAAUAUAAGACAGAUUGCCAGAUAACAAUGUUUCUGGUAUAAAGUAUAAAUAUAGCUAGGCAUCUACUCAAUCAUACGCUCAACUACACAUGUCCCAGCUAAACAUGGUUUGAGAAAAUGCAACCAGUUGUUUCAAAUCAACUGCUACUUUCAUAAGUUUCUAAUUUUUAUAUAUCUAGGUUUUUUAUGUCCAAAUUCUUCAAUCAAUGAAAAAAUCUAUUUCACUGUUAGAGGUGUUAUGCACCAGUCAUUGAAAACCUAUACAACUCAGACUGUUGCUGAUAAGUGGGGGUUAAGUGCCAGGAAAAUUUUCUAUGCUACCGUAAACCUCCAAAUAUAAGCCCCCCCUUGUAUAAGCCCACCACCCCGUGUAUAAGCCCACCACAUGUACUGUACUAACUUAAGGCUCACCUCAUUCCGAAUAUAAGCCCAGUAGCCCACUACGUUAUUCAACAUUGACAUUGUCUUUUAAUUAACCCAUUAAGCUGAGGAGCUUUCCCAUUGACAAGUAAAAUCGUCUGGCGUUAGACAAGUAAAAAAAUAAGUAAGGCACACUGGGGCGCAUUGCGGCUUGAUGGGUUUACCAGAGACAUUGUCAGAUUUUUUGGUCAACCCAUUAAGCUGCAGAGUUUACCCAUUGACGAGUAAAAUCGUUUGGCGUUAGACAAGUGAAAAUAAAGUAGAGCGCACUGGGGUGCGUUGUGGCUCAAUGGGUUAAUAUAGCAGAGAACAAUAUUUAAAAACAUUGUCUUUAUAGCUUAAGUCAAUGUCGUUAAUUAAUCAAAGUGCAUUAUUACUAUGUGUUUAUUUUCCUGUUUAUGACUGACUUGUUUAUUACACUAACACAAAAGAUUGUCCAUGUAUAUAAGCUCUAUCCCUCAUAUAUACUGUAAGCCCCCCCCCCCCUUGUAUAAGCCCAUCAAAAAUAUAGCCCAGGGUUUAUAGUCCGAGAUUUACUGUAUUCCAUGAACCCAUUAAGAUGUGAUGUUGUGAUGGAUUAACAGACUGUGUGUGCAUGUCUCAGUUACCAUUAGCACUUACAUUACCCUAAUUUAAUUUCUAUUUGACUUCAGUCUCACACCAGGUGUUGGUUGUUCAUAGCAGGCCUUAAAAUAUCUUUUACAGGGCCGUCUGACAAAAUGUCCGAUGACAUUGAGUUUGGGUCGGACAUAUGUCCGAUGACCUUCAGUUCAAUUUUGAGACUUGGAAAUAAGUGUGAAUGCCGACAAAAUGAAUAUCAGCAGAAUGUGUUAAUUCUGAACGGUAAAUGUUGUGAAGAUAUUAAUUAAUUUGUUCUUUCAUACUUAUUUCCAAGCCAAAAUUAGCUUGUUUUCCAGAACAGCAGUCAGUAAAAGACUUAGAUGACUUAAGCCUGUUUUCCACUUCACCAUGCAUUUCGCUCCCCGCCCCGUGCUUGACUAUGUUAAAAAAAUUUCAAGUUCACCUUAAAAUUAUACAAUAGUACUCUGAUUUUCCAUUUAACAUACAAGCCUCUAGCCCUGGGAUAGGGUACAUUUUGAUUUACGUUGGACAAAGCUACAGUUCGGUCGGACACACAUACACUCAGGUCGGACAAACAAUAAACCUCAAUUUCACUUUGGUCAGACAGAAUGUCUGGUGGUUUCCUCUCUACGUCGGACAAUUUCACUAAUGGGUUGGACAAUGUCCAUGACCGACCAAUAUUUUAAGGCCUGCAUAGCCAGAUUAACCCUAACCCGUAGUUAAAAUUUAUGUAUUUCUACAUACAGUAUCUUUUUGUUUUAAAAUUAUGAAAAGAAAACUCCUAUGGUACUGAUCCAGACAAGAUGUCUAAAGAAAUAUUUCCAAAUUUAUAAGUUUGCUUAAUCUAAGGUUAACUUACCGGCUUUCGAACAAUCAACCCCUGCAUGAUGAUUUUGUUUGUCAAUGGGGAGUGUGUUGGACUUAAAAGGUUUUAACCUUUCAUUGAAACUAGAUUGUCUGCCCGCAUUUUGUGUUAACACAUUAUUAAGAUAAAAGCCAGGCUACUUUCAGUACUUCAUGAUUUUACUAUGUCUAACAUCAGAGGGUCACAUUUCAUAUUAACCCUUUUAGAUGCAAAGUACAUUUUAGUCAUCCAGAGGGGGAGGGAGUCCAAGAGUAGAAUCUUCUGAGACUGAUAAUAGUAAGAUGUACUAAGACAUCAAUGGAAUGGUGUAGGGGGGGUUAAAUUCCAAGUUUUUUUGUAUGUCAUGCUUGAAGUUUUCAAGGAUGGAUAGAUCGGCUUAGAUAAAAAUGUCAAUUUGAUGUUUUGUGUGGCAACUUGAAUAUGGACAUCUCCCUAAUUGGAAACAGUUAUAAAGUCCUUAGUUUGUUUGUUCAAACUCAUGAAUACAUUUAGCUAGCUACACCACCCACAUGAUCUGCUUAGUUAUAUAUGUAACAACCCAAUUCACUCCAAUUAACCCAGUUUUCAGCACUUUCUUAAAUUAUGUCACCUUUCCUAAUGCCGGACAAGUUAAUUUGUGUGUAGCUAGAUUUUGCCCAUGUUUCAUGUUGACAUAUUUAGAUACAAUUUUCCCUAACACUCCCUACUUUAAAUACUUUACUAUUGAACUGUGACAUCUCAUGCUAGACAAUUUUACUUAUCGGCUGUGGACUGCUUGCCCUCAUUUCACCUAUUAACACCGAAGAAACAAUUUCCUCUUAAAUGUUGCCUACUUUCGGUUCUUUCUAGGGGUGUGCAGGACAGAGUAUUUCUGCUAUCCAGCCAGAUACAGGAUAUGCUGGAUAGCUGAAAAAUAUCCAGCCUGAUUCAGGGUAUUAUUCAAAUAAUUAUAUAAGGUUCAGGCAUCAUUUAAGGUUAAGUACCGGUAAUAAUUUUAUUUGGUUAAAAAGUAAACAGUCUAAAACUAGUAAACAUGCAUCAUUGGUAGCAAAAGCCUCGUUUACAUCAGUUAAAAGUUAAUUAAAAUCCCCAUUUUACUCCUCAAGAGCAGUGUCCUGCUCACUAAUGGUUAUCCAAACUAUCUGCCAAUGUGCCUUGAUAACCCAUUAAGCCGAAAUGCACCCAAAUGGACCCGCCUUUGUUAUUUUACUCUGUCAAGCGCCAGACAAUUUUAGUCAUCAAGAAGAGAGUCCGCGUGCUAGUGGGUUAAAUGACUUAAUUACAUAUGUUAUAUAUAUAUAUACACUUAAGCUGUUAGAUUGUCCCAUUGUAUAUUAAUUUUUUACUUAUCUUGACACAGGCUUGUAUGUUGGAUCGAUACAACUACCUGUAAAAAUGGUUAAACUUGGCUAUGUGAUUCAAAGGUUGUGGUUCACCGAGCGAUAAAGAAAAUGAUACAAAGAUGGAAUGAUUGGAUGCAAGUUAUUUACAGUGUUUCAUAUGACAGGUAUUCUGAUUGUGGAAGAUGUGGGCUUGCAAUAUUUUGACAAUUGCAUGGCUAUAAAGUACGAGACAAUUAAUAUAGUACUCCAUUACUCUAAUUGCCAGAACACUGCAUCAGAAUGAGAAGUUGUCUGUUACAGUUCGGUUUAGUAAAAGUACAUAGUAAAAGUACA